This is a long non-coding RNA of Pecten maximus, 2174 nucleotides long. RefSeq lists it as uncharacterized. Lineage: Eukaryota; Metazoa; Mollusca; Bivalvia; Pectinida; Pectinidae. The record is from RefSeq and is a predicted model, not a curated record. The transcript is spliced from 2 exons.
GUCAAAUUAACUGAAAUUUUAAAGAGAUCUUCUUACAACCCAAAUAAGGUAUUUAAAAAUCCUUUUUUUUUUUUUUAUCAGAUACUGAUGAAAUGUCAGAAAAAUCUUCAAAACAGUCUACAAAUAGGAAAAACCACUAAAUGAAUUUAUGGUCACCACAAACUCGGUCAUAGGUUUAUGAUUUGUCCACCACCAAAGCUGUUUAUAGAAUUAAAGUAUGUAUUAAUUUAACUUGGACCGAAAAAUCAUUGAAUUUGAAUAAUAACAAAUAUCGAUAAAUUUUGGAUUGGUCUUUUGAAAAGCCUAAGAUGUGGUCACUUAACUUUGACUAUCUAUAAUUAAAAGUGAUCAUUGACGGAGACGAUCUCUGUUCGAGGCAGUCUCUUCACAGAGAUGGCCUAUAUUCAGGGGUGACCUCUGAUUAGGGGUGGUCUCUUUACACAUGCACUCUCCAAUCAGAGAUGGUUUCCUUACAGAGGUGAUUUCUAAUCAAAGGUGGUCUGUUUGCAUUGGUGAUCUCUUUUAAGAGGUGGUCAUUUUACUGAGGCAAUCUCUAAUCAGAGGUGGUCAUUUUACUGAGGCAAUCUCUAAUCAGAGGUGGUCAUUUUACUGAGGCAAUCUCUGAUCUGAGGUGGUCAUUUUACUGAGGCAAUCUCUAAUCAGAGGUGGUCAUUUUACUGAGGCAAUCUCUAAUCAGAGGUGGUCAUUUUACUGAGGCAAUCUCUAAUCAGAGGUGGUCAUUUUACUGAGGCAAUCUCUGAUCUGAGGUGGUCAUUUUACUGAGGCAAUCUCUGAUCUGAGGUGGUCAUUUUACUGAGGCAAUCUCUAAUCAGAGGUGGUCAUUUUACUGAGGCAAUCUCUAAUCAGAGGUGGUCAUUUUACUGAGGCAAUCUCUAAUCUGAGGUGGUCAUUUUACUGAGGCAAUCUGAUCUGAGGUGGUCAUUUUACUGAGGCAAUCUUUAAUCUGAGGUGGUCAUUUUACUGAGGCAAUCUCUGAUCUGAGGUGGUCAUUUUACUGAGGCAAUCUCUGAUCAGAGGUGGUCAUUUUACUGAGGCAAUCUCUAAUCAGAGGUGGUCAUUUUACUGAGGCAAUCUCUGAUCAGAGGUGGUCAUUUUACUGAGGCAAUCUCUAAUCAGAGGUGGUCAUUUUACUGAGGAAAUCUCUAAUCUGAGGUGGUCAUUUUACUGAGGCAAUCUCUGAUCUGAGGUGGUCAUUUUACUGAGGCAAUCUCUAAUCUGAGGUGGUCAUUUUACUGAGGCAAUCUCUGAUCUGAGGUGGUCAUUUUACUGAGGCAAUCUCUGAUCUGAGGUGGUCAUUUUACUGAGGCAAUCUCUAAUCUGAGGUGGUCAUUUUACUGAGGCAAUCUCUGAUCUGAGGUGGUCAUUUUACUGAGGCAAUCUCUGAUCUGAGGUGGUCUCUUUACAAUGGUGAUCUCUAAUGAGAGGUGGUCACUUCACAAAGGUGAUCUCUAAUGAGAGGUGGUCUCUUAAAACUAAUAAUGAUAAUUUAGAGUUUUAUUUAUAUCAGAGCAACAUAGUCAUCUCGAAACAGUUCACAAAUUGUUAUCUGUGGUUAUUAGGCCUUAAUAACUAAUGUCUGUACCAACUACUUUGGGCCCACCACUGGAGAUGUCAUUUCAAUGCUAUGACAACUUAUACACAUUCUCAUUUACAGCUGUGUUUACUGGAGAAAAGGAAACAACACAGCUCCCUUGCCAGGACCACUCGGUCACGUAGCCCUACAUCCUACCACUAGACCACUGUGCCUCCUGUGACAAUCUCUAAUCAGAAAUGGCCUCUUUACAGAGGCGAUCUCUAAUCGGAGACAAUUGCUUAUGAGCGACUUCACAGGUUGGAUCUUAUUACAUUACAGAAGCCUUUACAGAGUGUUAUUGAACUACUCUUUAGAAAUGAGAUUAAGGACUGUCUUCAUUUGCCGAAAUAAUUAUCAACAUUCAUAUUUUGUGUUGUCCAUAUUGAUUACUUAAUAAAUUUGCCUGUUGAAUAUAAUGUAUAUCCUUGAUGAAUCAUGUUUUUGUUGAAUGUAGAAAUGUAACAUAUUGAGUGAUUGAUGAUGGUUUCAAUCUCUUGUCCCGAGUAACAAACAAUCUGGCAUAUUAUAGGUUGAGAAAUAAUACUGGGAAAUGUGUAAUAAAUUAUGUUUGAUAAUCAUA